AAACGUAGUCUGGCAAGUAACAGGCGAUCUCCACAGAGGAAAUGCUGCCAGCUCAUAACACCGGAUGUAAUUAAGACCACAAGAGACACACACUUGGUUAUAAAUGCUGAACUUAGAGGUUACCUAGGAGACUUCAGGUGAUUGACAUGGGGUGGGCAUACAGCUCCAGCAAGGAAAAGAUACUGAGAUUUCCGAAUGGCUAGCUGAGUUCUCUUGGGGAGGAAUUGUGUAUGUUUUCAGCAGCAUUGAAAGAAUUCAGAAGUCAAGAGUACUCUGUGCUCCUCGUAAGAGACCCUGGGGGAAAUAGAGUUAGAGAAAUCCAUUGUUCAUGCAGACGAAAGACAAUCUAUGAAGGAUCAAUGCUUUCCCAUAACUGGGAACAUAAAGGACUCUUCUCUUAGGAAGCCUUCUUCUCGAGGUUUCACCUCCUGAAAGAAGACAGAUCCAACAUCCCCAGCCUCAUACAAGAGGAACGAUGUUAACAGCUAAACUAAUCAAGAUCCCUGACUUCAGGAGGCUCUUACCUCAGCUCUACCAUCAAUCAUGUGAUCUAACUGAUCUUCCGGAUGUCAACUCCCAAGCAAGGGAAUGAGAAGUCUCUCAGGAAGGAUCUCUGUAUACUACCUUCUUCUCCAGCUGAUGUCAUCUCAAUAUUCGUAGUGUCUAUACACCAUGCUCUAGAAAACAAGAAACAGACCUGGCUGGAGCAUCUGGCUGCUCUGUGUCAGACAUUUCCAAGCCUGCUGUGA
RNAcentral lists this long non-coding RNA (749 nucleotides) under Cricetulus griseus (Chinese hamster). RNAcentral's name for it is "lncRNA (ENSCGRG00000025806.1)". Lineage: Eukaryota; Metazoa; Chordata; Mammalia; Rodentia; Cricetidae. The record is from RNAcentral.